CCGGCGCCCCUGGUGGGUUCGGAGGUGGACCCGGACCAAUCUACUCAUCCUUCUCCCCCUUCGCCAACCCGUCCUCUCCACCUGCAGUGCCCCAUCUGGGUGGUGGCAGUGGUGGUGGUGGUGGUGGUGGUUUGGAGGUGGAGGUGGAGUCUUUGGUAUCCGGGUGCAGCAGGGCGAUUGCGGGCAUCUUGCAUGGCCUUGCGGAGAUGGAGGCGCAGGGACAGAUCAACAAGGACGUCAGGUGGGGGCCGGCGGAUGGGGGAAAGACGAACCACACACGAUUGAAGCUGCUGCCAGGGCAAGAGAGUAUCAAACGUAGAACUGACCGAAAGGCGUCCUUGGAGACCGUGACCUCGGGAUGACGAAGUGAAGAGGAUGUCGGAAAGACUACCUACCUACGCCGCCAGAACUAAAAAAGAAGAAUUAGUAUUGCCAAGCCGUAAAGAAGUAGGUG
Molecule: long non-coding RNA, 454 nt
Filed under: Volvox carteri
Lineage: Eukaryota; Viridiplantae; Chlorophyta; Chlorophyceae; Chlamydomonadales; Volvocaceae
Description: long non-coding RNA (VCAR_LNC002642)
Source: RNAcentral